Diceros bicornis minor is the source of this 215-nucleotide long non-coding RNA. RefSeq lists it as uncharacterized. The transcript has 2 exons. The record is from RefSeq and is a predicted model, not a curated record. Lineage: Eukaryota; Metazoa; Chordata; Mammalia; Perissodactyla; Rhinocerotidae.
AUUUCGCAAGUGAUGACUUUCAUCCUCCUGAGUCUUGAAGCGCCAAGAAAAUUCCUCGCGCACCGUUUUCUUCCAAAGACAGAGGAUACAGUGAGAAGACAGCCAUCUGCAAACCAGGAAGAGUGCCCUUACCAGACAUCAGAUCUGCUGGCGCCUUCAUCUUGGACUUCCUACCCUCCAGAACUGUGAAAAAUAAAUGUUUGUUAUUUAAGCCA